AGCAGCCGCGGUAAUUCCAGCUCCAAUAGCGUAUAUUAAAGUUGUUGCAGUUAAAAAGCUCGUAGUUGAAUUUCGGGAUUGACGUGACGGUCAUGCCUUAAGGGGUAUGAACUGUUACAGUUGAUUUCUCACCUUCUGGAGAAACUUGAUGUCCUUUAUUGGUGUCUUGCGGAUCCAGGACCUUUACCUUGAAAAAUUAGAGUAGUUUAAAGCAGGUCAUUUUUGCUCGAAUACAUUAGCAUGGAAUAAUAGAAUAGGACGGCAUGGUUCUAUUUUGUUGGUUUUCUAGGAUCACCGUAAUGAUUAAUAGGGAUAGUUGGGGGCAGUUAGUAUUCAAUUGUCAGAGGUGAAAUUCUUAGGAUUUAUUGAAGACUAAACUACUGCGAAAGCAAUUUGCCUAAGGAUGUUUUCAUUUAAUCUAAGAACGAAAGUUAGGGGAUCGGAAGACGAUCAGAUACCGUCGUAGUCUUAACCAUAAACUAUGCCGACUAGGAAUCAGACGAUGUUAAUUUUUAUGUAC
RNAcentral lists this ribosomal RNA (520 nucleotides) under uncultured Entrophosporaceae. Its description in RNAcentral is "SSU rRNA". It matches the Rfam family "Eukaryotic small subunit ribosomal RNA", at positions 569 to 1077 of the family's 1831-position model. Lineage: Eukaryota; Fungi; Glomeromycota; Glomeromycetes; Entrophosporales; Entrophosporaceae. The record is from RNAcentral.